UAAAAAGGUCAAUCGUCUGUGAAAAGCAGGAAAAACCACGAAAAGUGGCGUGUAUGUGUGAUAAUUAUUUCGUUUACUUUGUGUGAUUGCUUUAGGUUUUUAUUUCUUGUUAUUACUCGUAUCAGUCGUAUCAUAGCCUUAAAUUUGGUACCAGCCAUCAUGUCUUCAGUAUGUUGUGGAACUAAAAAACAAAAGCUGAACAAUUCAUACAGCAACCACGUCGAGCGACCUAUAAAUGGUUACCAUGAGCCAGUGGCAAUACCCGAUAUGUGCUACUUUUGUUUCGAUGUAUUGUAUUGUCAGCUGCACAGUAUGGACCCUCCACAGACGCCACUUUUCACCAACGAAGCAUAUCCCCUUUUUGUCACAUGGAAGAUUGGCAAGGAGCAUCGGCUCCGCGGAUGUAUUGGGACCUUUAAUGCUAUGCAUUUGCAUUCAGGUCUGCGAGAGUACGCAAUAACAAGCGCUUUGAAGGAUUCGCGCUUUACGCCAAUCACGCGCGAGGAGGUGCCGCGGCUGUCGGUGUCGGUGUCCAUCCUGCAGCACUUCGAGGAAGCGGAGCACUACCUGGACUGGAAGCUGGGCAAGCACGGCAUCCGCAUCGAGUUCCUCAGCGAGCGCGGCUCCAAGCGCACUGCAACCUACUUACCUCAAGUCGCUACUGAGCAAGGUACAGUACUGACGCUGUCACGAGCGCGCUCAAGUCUACGUCGAUCACGCGCGAGGAGGUGCCGCGGCUGUCGGUGUCGGUGUCCAUCCUGCAGCACUUCGAGGAAGCGGAGCACUACCUGGACUGGAAGCUGGGCAAGCACGGCAUCCGCAUCGAGUUCCUCAGCGAGCGCGGCUCCAAGCGCACUGCAACCUACUUACCUCAAGUCGCUACUGAGCAAGGUACAGUACUGACGCUGUCACGAGCGCGCUCAAGUCUACGUCGAUCACGCGCGAGGAGGUGCCGCGGCUGUCGGUGUCGGUGUCCAUCCUGCAGCACUUCGAGGAAGCGGAGCACUACCUGGACUGGAAGCUGGGCAAGCACGGCAUCCGCAUCGAGUUCCUCAGCGAGCGCGGCUCCAAGCGCACUGCAACCUACUUACCUCAAGUCGCUACUGAGCAAGGUACAGUACUGACGCUGUCACGAGCGCGCUCAAGUCUACGUCGAUCACGCGCGAGGAGGUGCCGCGGCUGUCGGUGUCGGUGUCCAUCCUGCAGCACUUCGAGGAAGCGGAGCACUACCUGGACUGGAAGCUGGGCAAGCACGGCAUCCGCAUCGAGUUCCUCAGCGAGCGCGGCUCCAAGCGCACUGCAACCUACUUACCUCAAGUCGCUACUGAGCAAGGUACAGUACUGACGCUGUCACGAGCGCGCUCAAGUCUACGUCGAUCACGCGCGAGGAGGUGCCGCGGCUGUCGGUGUCGGUGUCCAUCCUGCAGCACUUCGAGGAAGCGGAGCACUACCUGGACUGGAAGCUGGGCAAGCACGGCAUCCGCAUCGAGUUCCUCAGCGAGCGCGGCUCCAAGCGCACUGCAACCUACUUACCUCAAGUCGCUACUGAGCAAGGUACAGUACUGACGCUGUCACGAGCGCGCUCAAGUCUACGUCGAUCACGCGCGAGGAGGUGCCGCGGCUGUCGGUGUCGGUGUCCAUCCUGCAGCACUUCGAGGAAGCGGAGCACUACCUGGACUGGAAGCUGGGCAAGCACGGCAUCCGCAUCGAGUUCCUCAGCGAGCGCGGCUCCAAGCGCACUGCAACCUACUUACCUCAAGUCGCUACUGAGCAAGGUACAGUACUGACGCUGUCACGAGCGCGCUCAAGUCUACGUCGAUCACGCGCGAGGAGGUGCCGCGGCUGUCGGUGUCGGUGUCCAUCCUGCAGCACUUCGAGGAAGCGGAGCACUACCUGGACUGGAAGCUGGGCAAGCACGGCAUCCGCAUCGAGUUCCUCAGCGAGCGCGGCUCCAAGCGCACUGCAACCUACUUACCUCAAGUCGCUACUGAGCAAGGUACAGUACUGACGCUGUCACGAGCGCGCUCAAGUCUACGUCGAUCACGCGCGAGGAGGUGCCGCGGCUGUCGGUGUCGGUGUCCAUCCUGCAGCACUUCGAGGAAGCGGAGCACUACCUGGACUGGAAGCUGGGCAAGCACGGCAUCCGCAUCGAGUUCCUCAGCGAGCGCGGCUCCAAGCGCACUGCAACCUACUUACCUCAAGUCGCUACUGAGCAAGGUACAGUACUGACGCUGUCACGAGCGCGCUCAAGUCUACGUCGAUCACGCGCGAGGAGGUGCCGCGGCUGUCGGUGUCGGUGUCCAUCCUGCAGCACUUCGAGGAAGCGGAGCACUACCUGGACUGGAAGCUGGGCAAGCACGGCAUCCGCAUCGAGUUCCUCAGCGAGCGCGGCUCCAAGCGCACUGCAACCUACUUACCUCAAGUCGCUACUGAGCAAGGUACAGUACUGACGCUGUCACGAGCGCGCUCAAGUCUACGUCGAUCACGCGCGAGGAGGUGCCGCGGCUGUCGGUGUCGGUGUCCAUCCUGCAGCACUUCGAGGAAGCGGAGCACUACCUGGACUGGAAGCUGGGCAAGCACGGCAUCCGCAUCGAGUUCCUCAGCGAGCGCGGCUCCAAGCGCACUGCAACCUACUUACCUCAAGUCGCUACUGAGCAAGGUACAGUACUGACGCUGUCACGAGCGCGCUCAAGUCUACGUCGAUCACGCGCGAGGAGGUGCCGCGGCUGUCGGUGUCGGUGUCCAUCCUGCAGCACUUCGAGGAAGCGGAGCACUACCUGGACUGGAAGCUGGGCAAGCACGGCAUCCGCAUCGAGUUCCUCAGCGAGCGCGGCUCCAAGCGCACUGCAACCUACUUACCUCAAGUCGCUACUGAGCAAGGUACAGUACUGACGCUGUCACGAGCGCGCUCAAGUCUACGUCGAUCACGCGCGAGGAGGUGCCGCGGCUGUCGGUGUCGGUGUCCAUCCUGCAGCACUUCGAGGAAGCGGAGCACUACCUGGACUGGAAGCUGGGCAAGCACGGCAUCCGCAUCGAGUUCCUCAGCGAGCGCGGCUCCAAGCGCACUGCAACCUACUUACCUCAAGUCGCUACUGAGCAAGGUACAGUACUGACGCUGUCACGAGCGCGCUCAAGUCUACGUCGAUCACGCGCGAGGAGGUGCCGCGGCUGUCGGUGUCGGUGUCCAUCCUGCAGCACUUCGAGGAAGCGGAGCACUACCUGGACUGGAAGCUGGGCAAGCACGGCAUCCGCAUCGAGUUCCUCAGCGAGCGCGGCUCCAAGCGCACUGCAACCUACUUACCUCAAGUCGCUACUGAGCAAGGUACAGUACUGACGCUGUCACGAGCGCGCUCAAGUCUACGUCGAUCACGCGCGAGGAGGUGCCGCGGCUGUCGGUGUCGGUGUCCAUCCUGCAGCACUUCGAGGAAGCGGAGCACUACCUGGACUGGAAGCUGGGCAAGCACGGCAUCCGCAUCGAGUUCCUCAGCGAGCGCGGCUCCAAGCGCACUGCAACCUACUUACCUCAAGUCGCUACUGAGCAAGGUACAGUACUGACGCUGUCACGAGCGCGCUCAAGUCUACGUCGAUCACGCGCGAGGAGGUGCCGCGGCUGUCGGUGUCGGUGUCCAUCCUGCAGCACUUCGAGGAAGCGGAGCACUACCUGGACUGGAAGCUGGGCAAGCACGGCAUCCGCAUCGAGUUCCUCAGCGAGCGCGGCUCCAAGCGCACUGCAACCUACUUACCUCAAGUCGCUACUGAGCAAGGUACAGUACUGACGCUGUCACGAGCGCGCUCAAGUCUACGUCGAUCACGCGCGAGGAGGUGCCGCGGCUGUCGGUGUCGGUGUCCAUCCUGCAGCACUUCGAGGAAGCGGAGCACUACCUGGACUGGAAGCUGGGCAAGCACGGCAUCCGCAUCGAGUUCCUCAGCGAGCGCGGCUCCAAGCGCACUGCAACCUACUUACCUCAAGUCGCUACUGAGCAAGGUUGGGACCAAAUACAAACAAUCGACUCCCUCCUCCGAAAGGGGGGUUACAAGGCGGCCAUCACCACAGAUCUCAGAAGGAGCAUCAAGCUCACUAGAUACCAAUCGGAAGAGGUGUCCGCGUCUUACAACGACUACAUCAACCAGCGGUGCUAGCAAACGGCCCCCUUUUACGGGCACGCGUACACUAACAAGCGAAUAUAUCGGACGAACGCGAGUGACUAUUGUGUUAACAAUGUAGUUUAUAAGUAUACCGCAUCUAGUGUGCCGUACGACGCGUGGCGACCCGCGCACACGACUACGACGGGUCAGAAUUAUGCUCAAAGUGCCCCCGCUCUUAACAGAUCGUGCUUCAUCGAUAUGGUGUAAGAGUAAUUAUCACUGCCAACGACAUUCCUCAGGGCGUUCAACGGUGCCAUCUUUGAAACUACACGGCAGGGUACAGAGACAUUUUGUUGCGAUGGUUGUGCUUUUAUGGGCUUGAGUCAAAAAAGUGCGAAAUUCAGACCGAUGAAGCUAUAGGCGCGUAUAUAUUGGCGCGCAAAUUACAUUAUAUAACGCAUGCCGGGAAUGCUAGUAAAAAAAUAUGGCAUGUAGGUGAUACGGCAUCCACUGUUGAAAAUCCUAUGUGGCGUCAUACCAUUAUAAUAUCAGCAUGCCGUCCCAAAAAAAGAUCUUUUGGUCCAGGAAAAAUUACCCUUGGGCAAAAUUAUAUUUUGCUGUUAGGGAUUAAAAUUAUCCCUUGGCAAAAUUGUAUUUUUCUUUUAGGGAUACUGAAGGUGGAUUUAUACCUUCACACACGCAUGGAAUAGCACGUGCAUGUCACUAACGCGUAUAUCAUGUUUGUACUGACUCCCAAAAACUUACGGACAUAUGCACGCCGUGACAUGUACAACAGCACGCGAACCACUCCCAAACCACACAAACACGUCCAAAUUGUUCUUAUGUUGCGUUUUGUGUACACGGUUCGAGCGUGUGCGCAGGUGUGGAUCAGCCCUAAUGCCUCGUAAAAGAGACUUUAUCAAGAUCAUACGUUAAGAUAGAUUAGACAAUUUGAAUAGAAAUAUUUAGCAAUAAAAAGUACCAUCAGUUUAGGACAUAAAAUGUCUAUUAUAGUUUCAUUAGUGCUUUAGGAUAACUUUACUAAGGCUUUAAAUAGAUGAUCCUGAACGCUUUUUUUUCUAUGGCAGAUAUUAGAAAAAGAAGCAGGGAGCUACCCAAAAAAAAGGAGUGUUUUCAGGGUGUAUGUAUGUAAGUUUCUUAAUUCCACCAUAAUUUCUAAAUGACUGAACAGAUUUGGAUGUAUGGGGUAUCGUUAAAAUCCCACCAUCCUGAGUGACGGAUAUAAAUUUUUUGAAAGAAAUUCUAGUAUACGGCGGCUGCAUGGCACCAUUUUCAAAUGUGACGAUUUUUACUUUUUAGUUCGUUUUUGGCCUUUGAUGACUCAAUAAAAUCAAUAUAUGAAUUCACAAAUAUGAUUUUCGUAAUGAAGCCUGAAGAAGUGAAUGAAGCAAACCAUAGGCAUGGUGACAAAAUGUCCUAACGUACCGCAUAAGCUGGGAACAAAUUAUAUUAUAUAGCAUCAAUUGGAACUCGCCAUUACUUCUACUUCAUGGAUUUACCGUACUUAAUCGUACUUUUAAGAGGGGUCUCUCCGUCACUCGCUCCAUACAAACGUAGUUCCAAUUUCAUUUGAAUAUUAAGCAUGAA
Maniola jurtina (meadow brown) is the source of this 5694-nucleotide RNA transcript. RefSeq lists it as uncharacterized. The transcript is spliced from 5 exons. NCBI's taxonomy places the organism in Eukaryota, Metazoa, Arthropoda, Insecta, Lepidoptera, Nymphalidae. The record is from RefSeq and is a predicted model, not a curated record.